RNAcentral lists this ribosomal RNA (915 nucleotides) under uncultured Bacillota bacterium. Its description in RNAcentral is "bacterial SSU rRNA". It matches the Rfam family "Bacterial small subunit ribosomal RNA", at positions 1 to 893 of the family's 1533-position model. Lineage: Bacteria; Bacillati; Bacillota. The record is from RNAcentral.
UGGAUCCAGACUUUGAUUCUGGCUCAGGACGAACGCUGGCGGCGUGCUUAACACAUGCAAGUCGAACGGGGUGUUUAUUUCGGUAAACACCAAGUGGCGAACGGGUGAGUAACGCGUAAGCAAUCUACCUUCAAGAUGGGGACAACACUUCGAAAGGGGUGCUAAUACCGAAUGAAUGUAAGAGUAUCGCAUGAGACACUUACUAAAGGAGGCCUCUGAAAAUGCUUCCGCUUGAAGAUGAGCUUGCGUCUGAUUAGCUAGUUGGUGAGGGUAAAGGCCCACCAAGGCGACGAUCAGUAGCCGGUCUGAGAGGAUGAACGGCCACAUUGGGACUGAGACACGGCCCAGACUCCUACGGGAGGCAGCAGUGGGGAAUCUUCCGCAAUGGGCGAAAGCCUGACGGAGCAACGCCGCGUGAACGAUGAAGGUCUUAGGAUCGUAAAGUUCUGUUGUUAGGGACGAAGGAUAAGGAUUAUAAUACAGUCUUUGUUCGACGGUACCUAACGAGGAAGCCACGGCUAACUACGUGCCAGCAGCCGCGGUAAUACGUAGGCGGCAAGCGUUGUCCGGAAUUAUUGGGCGUAAAGGGAGCGCAGGCGGGAAACUAAGCGGAUCUUAAAAGUGCGGGGCUCAACCCCGUGAUGGGGUCCGAACUGGUUUUCUUGAGUGCAGGAGAGGAAAGCGGAAUUCCCAGUGUAGCGGUGAAAUGCGUAGAUAUUGGGAAGAACACCAGUGGCGAAGGCGGCUUUCUGGACUGUAACUGACGCUGAGGCUCGAAAGCUAGGGUAGCGAACGGGAUUAGAUACCCCGGUAGUCCUAGCCGUAAACGAUGGAUACUAGGUGUGGGAGGUAUCGACUCCUUCCGUGCCGGAGUUAACGCAAUAAGUAUCCCGCCUGGGGAGUACGGCCGCAAGG